RNAcentral lists this ribosomal RNA (591 nucleotides) under Triticum aestivum (bread wheat). RNAcentral describes it as "partial small subunit ribosomal RNA". Lineage: Eukaryota; Viridiplantae; Streptophyta; Magnoliopsida; Poales; Poaceae. The record is from RNAcentral.
AUGGUGCGCUCGUUGCUGGCGAAAAGGGACUUCAUGUUUGGACAUUCCCAACAUCCAACUAGGGACUCGGCUUCCUCAUCGGCAUCACGGCGGUCGUCCUCGACUUCGGCCUCAACGGGGACAGGCUCAAGAACAUCGUCGUGCACAAGGUCAUCGGCUUCUCCAUCCUGUCCAUGGCAUGCCUCCAGAAUGGCAUGUGCUGUAUGGGAACACAAGCCUGGAAAACUCCUCUCCCGAUGCGGAGCAGUCCACGGCGCUGUCAUCGUCGUCCUGACUCCUUGGCCGCUGCCGCUCCCAAGCGAGAAGACAAGCUUGGCUUGUGGCGGUGGCGGGUAUUACUGGAGUGGAGGCACAUUUUGUUUUCCGUUCUCGUCAUUCUUGGAAAGGCACAACAUGUACGAGGAGGAAGCCAUGAGAACUACCAGAGUGGAGAUGGGGAUGCGCGGCGAGCUGUGGGACGACUCGGCGCUGGUCGACUGCUUGGACCACGCCGUGCCACCUACAAGGCAUGCCGUAUGCACCCUCGCCCCCUUUGAUCCUCUUGCCCUUUCCACCUUGCUGCUAGAAGAUGUAGUAUGUGUUCUGUUUUAA